UACGUAGGGGGCAAGCGUUGUCCGGAAUCAUUGGGCGUAAAGCGCGUGUAGGCGGCUGGCUAAGUCCGCUCUGAAAGCCCGGGGCUCAACCCCGGGAGGCGGGUGGAUACUGGUCAGCUCGAGUCCGGAAGAGGAGUGUGGAAUUCCUGGUGUAGCGGUGAAAUGCGCAGAUAUCAGGAGGAACACCAAUGGCGAAGGCAGCACUCUGGGACGGUACUGACGCUGAGACGCGAAAGUGUGGGGAGCGAACAGG
RNAcentral lists this ribosomal RNA (253 nucleotides) under uncultured bacterium. Its description in RNAcentral is "partial 16S ribosomal RNA". It matches the Rfam family "Bacterial small subunit ribosomal RNA", at positions 524 to 776 of the family's 1533-position model. The record is from RNAcentral.